This 253-nucleotide ribosomal RNA is filed under the name uncultured bacterium. RNAcentral's name for it is "partial 16S ribosomal RNA". It matches the Rfam family "Bacterial small subunit ribosomal RNA", at positions 524 to 776 of the family's 1533-position model. The record is from RNAcentral.
UACAUAGGGUGCAAGCGUUAAUCGGAAUUACUGGGCGUAAAGCGUGCGCAGGCGGUUUUGUAAGUCUGUCGUGAAAUCCCCGGGCUCAACCUGGGAAUGGCGAUGGAGACUGCAAGGCUGGAAUCUGGCAGAGGGGGGUAGAAUUCCACGUGUAGCAGUGAAAUGCGUAGAGAUGCGGAGGAACACCGAUGGCGAAGGCAGCCCCCUGGGCUAACACUGACGCUCAGGCACGAAAGCGUGGGGAGCAAACAGG